Dermacentor silvarum is the source of this 1704-nucleotide long non-coding RNA. RefSeq lists it as uncharacterized. The transcript has 3 exons. NCBI's taxonomy places the organism in Eukaryota, Metazoa, Arthropoda, Arachnida, Ixodida, Ixodidae. The record is from RefSeq and is a predicted model, not a curated record.
CAAGCAUAGUACAUCCCCUCGAAAAUAUGCCUAAGUGAGUUCAGUAGCUCGCGCUAGAGGCGCCGUAAUAAGCGCAAUUUUAACCUACAAACUUUCUCCCGCGCUCAUCGAAGCGUUUUUAUUACUUGACAUAGAGCACAAAAUUAUUAUUCUUAAUUAGAGAUUGUACUGUUGAGUACCAACUGUUUCUUUUUUGCCAUUAUAAACGCAAAAUAACGUUCAUCAUCACCGAUCUCCCACGUGACCUCUGGCCUGGAUUUAAAAUUUUUACCGGUAUUUUUCGCGAACACGGCAAGCACGGAUUCAUUGGUUCGUACACUUAUGCUGGUUGCUUAUUUUGUGCUAAAACCAGUUUAUCGCGCUUCGACACCUCGCGUUAUUUAACUUGGGGUGAAGUGACGGGUUUGCGAGAAAUGUAAGCCCGAAAGCUAGGUUUCGGUCGUGAGCCAUGCGGAACAAGUCUGCAUCGAAACGGGAGCCGGAUUCUGCUGCGACUGAGGACGGCAAUACCGACAUGCAGUAAAGAGGAUGGCACCAGUGUAAAGCAGCACUCCAUACACCAAAGACAAGCUACUUCCUGCUACAACAAGGCCAUUGUGUGGACUUUGGCUGUUACUACAAGAAUCUGCACCAAGCACACCAUGGUCCUCAUCACAGGAGCCCCCAUCUACCCUGACAGGAAGGGGCUGGAGCCGAAUUUACAAGGAUUUUACACCACAAACAAAGAAGCGGAUGCAGAAGUAUUUGGAUGAGAUAUCAAGUCUACGGAGGACUGUGUCAAGACUGAAAAGAGCCUCAGCCAUCAUUCCACCAGCACGGGUAUUGGCCGAGUCAUCCAGGUACCUCAACAAAGACUUUCUAGAAAUUCUUCAUGUUGAGAUGCACCUGCAACCAUUCAACAAGCAUGGACGACGCUGGCCAAAAGAGUUCCAUCAGUUUGCCCUUCCUUAAUCAGCUUCCUGGUCAUGUCAAAUUCCAUUUAUGCCGAGUAUACAUUUUUUCUAUAAAUGCAAGCUUUUUCAUUCCCCACUCUUGCUAGGGAUAAUUCUUCUUCCUCAUCCAAACAUGAAGGUCAACCGAUUCUGUGCUCAUACUUAAUACCAUUCACUGUCUAGUAGCAUACCAUAUCUGUAGCAAUAUUUCUUAGUGUAUGCUGCCAUGUACAAUUCCUCUCCAGAAAUAGCCGAUGCAGCAUCGGAAUGCGUCUUGCAUUAACCGUUGCACCGUGUGCUAUGUAGCAUUUGACUUUUCUUAAUGUUUUUGGCCUUCAGUGCUUGUAGAGCCAAGUGGCUUCUUUCAUGAACACAAGCUUUCUGAUUGCCAUAUUUAAUUCCUAGUCUUAUUCAGCAUUGCUCUUCUUGCUCAAUAGCCUGGGUGUAGCCCUGCUUGUUUAGCCUUGCCUUGUUCGAUAACCUUCAGUGUACCUUGUGCUACACUGAAGUGAUUGAUUACAGAGUCUGGUUUCGCUGCUGUCCCACUUGGUCGUGGUCGCCGUGUUACGUUUCUCGGAUGUGGGGACCUGGUAAGUUGCAUUGGUAAGCAGUCUCUCGAGGUAAGCACCUGCUCCUGCAGUCCGCACAGCAACAUAGACUCCCAAUUUACACGCACCGUGAUUGGUGCUCCCCGUUCUGUCCUUUCCUGCUGUAGCCAUGUGCAAAUUUUGCUUGUGGCCUUCGUCAGCUGCAAUUUAGCAUGAACAUAGAC